Molecule: long non-coding RNA, 362 nt
Filed under: Equus asinus (donkey)
Lineage: Eukaryota; Metazoa; Chordata; Mammalia; Perissodactyla; Equidae
Description: lncRNA (ENSEASG00005030470.1)
Source: RNAcentral
CAGAGCUACAGGAAAAAGAGAGUGUGAAUGAAGCCCUGAAGGGGUCAGUGGAUGAAGGCCCUGUGACUUCUUCCAGUCACCAGUACCCAUCUGAUUCCCAUGAGCCUCCCAGCACCAAUGUUUUCUUGUCUGAGGAGCACGAAGACUUCUCUGCUCUGGUUGCAGCUACUGAGAACUCCCAUCAACAGGAGAAGAAAGCUCCAACAGGUCUCCCAGAAACUCAAAAAGAUCAGAAGGAUGAGGAAAGAGAUGAGCCAACAGCCCCCAGGGAGCUGCAGGAGGAGGAGGAAAUGGAUGAUGCGUGUCAGGAUUCUUUGGAUGAAAAGUAUUUGGCUCUUUCCAGUCACCAUGACUUGUCUGAC